Non-coding RNA from Phalacrocorax carbo (great cormorant), 6176 nucleotides. The record is from RefSeq and is a predicted model, not a curated record. Lineage: Eukaryota; Metazoa; Chordata; Aves; Suliformes; Phalacrocoracidae.
CCUCUCCCGGGCGGAGCCGGCGGCCGCGGCCGAGGCAGAGGCAGGCCGCGGGGAGCCGGAGCGGCCCCGGCGCAGGGGCUGCCCGCGGCGGGGGCCGUGAGGCGGCGCUGGGCUGUCCGGGAGCACGAGUGGGCGAGGCUGGCCUGCGCGGCUCUGCCCUGGGACGCUGCGCCCCUGGUACCGCCUGGUGCGGAUUCGGGAGCGCCCAGAUCGCCGCCUUCUCGGUCCCAAAGACGCUGCUGCGGGCCGUGCUUCGCAGUAGGAAAGAAACGGGUGAAAAAACUAACCACGAGGUUCUGCUUAGAAACCUUGGUCUAACCCAGCCCGUUAGCCUGAGGCGGGUGGCGAACGUGAUGGGUACCGGUACCACAGCGGGAGCGAGCGGUGGUACCUCGGCCCCGAGCGCAGCGCAGUGCUUUUAAACCUUGCGAGUACAACGUGGUUCCCAUGCAGCGUAGCGACGUUAAACAAAACCCUGAGCCUUCUGUGAAUUAUGAAUAAAAUGUACGGAUUGCACAUCUGAGGAUGGGCCAGGCCAGGCACAGACAGCUGGCCUCGGUUUGUUUGUAUGUGGUUAGACAUCUACAUGAACUAGGUGUCCAGACCCAACCCUUAGCAGAGAGAAACAAGCUCCUCCUGAAGGUGAUUCAUCUGCUGCUAAGACAGGAGCACAAGAGAACUCCAGUGAAAGCACCAAGAUGUCCCCUGUCAUCUCUGCAACUGAAAGGGUGGUGGUUUGUCAGAGGACCGAGAGUGAGGAGCAUGCAGUGUUUGGUUCAGAAGAGGUUAUGAAGAAAGCCAGACUGAGCAACUCCAAGCAAAUCCUGGUCUUAGUCCAGUAACACGACAUUACCCUGGGAUGGACAAAACUGUACCACGUUGCUGACAACUCUGGGUGAGAGUACCUAUGUUCCUUGGAGAACUGUAUUUCUUCUCUGAAAAGUAAUAAUUUUUGUCUGUUUAUGGAAUCAUGUUUCAUUUCAGACAUAGACUGUUUGAGCCAAUGAUUCCAUUUUCAGGAAAACAUCUUUUAGGAGCAAUGCAGGAAAGCACACGGAAGAGGUGGCAGGCUUCCAGUGGAAAUAGUGCCAAAGGAAGAACAGCAGCCCAGAGGAGAUUUCACACUUUACAGCAAUAUUUAAAGCAUUCUGAAUCUGAUUAGGGGGUAUGGCUGAAAGUCACAUAGCUUUCUGGUCCUACACAGCAUUUUUUAAAAGCUGUCAGAGGAAAAAAAUGAAAUAGUGGAACUAAAGUCCCUAAGCAAGUUCCAGCUCCAGUUCAGUACUCUGACAUAGUGUCAGUCAGCACGCAAACACCUACUGCAAUGGCUGGAUUCACAAGUGCUAUAAGCCACAUUUGGAUCAAAAGUGCCAUUCAGUUUUUCUCACUGUAGAUCUCUUAUAAAUUCCUCCAGAUUUACUUUGCGAUCAGGAUUUGGCUUACAGGCAUUAUCUCUGACAAAUGAAGGGGAGAAGGUGAAUGUGUAGCACUAGCAUCAGGAGGAGAAAAGGACAUUGCAGAUGUACUGCUUUUUUCAGAUGUAAUAGGAGCAGCGAAUGAACAAACCAACCUUCUGUCAGAAAAAAAAAGCAUACAAAGAUGAUGAGUACUCUAAGAAGAAUGCCUUCUCUGUGUAUAAUAAAAAGCAUAUUUCACCGCUCGUAGCUAUAUAUGCACACGCACACACAGACAUGGGUACAUAAAUAUUCAAAACAGUUGCAAAUUUGUCUUAAAAGAUAUUCCGUAUCAGCUCACUAAUUGUCAUUAUGAAAUACUCUGAGGUGAGAGAUCUCCAUGAGAAAUCUCUUGAGUCCCCUUUUCCCAAUUUCCAACUUGCUAUUCUAGGUAAGGAAGAGAAAGAUGGAUUUAAUAAAGGUGCAGCAUGCAGGAGUGGUGGUAAGAGACCUCACAAUUUUAUUUUUGGCUUGGAAUCACUGGCUUUGUCUCAGUUUGGCAGAAGAUUAUACCCUUCAUGACAUAAUCUAUGUCAGUAUCCUCUGCCUCCAGCCCCAGUGUUACACUUCCCAUUUUUCCUUUCUUUUUCCCCCUCCUUUUAAUUAAAUGAAUAUAAAAUAUAACAUCUAAACUACAAAAAGGAACAAAGAAAGCACAGCGAUCAGAUCCAGGUAAUAGAACACAUCACUGUGGGGGUUCAGAAUUAAGGCCAGGCGAGGAAGCCUCUCCCCUGAGGAGAAGACAAUUUCCUUGCCACGGUGCUAAGGUUAUUGCAAUGCCAGCAUCCCUAAAUAACCACGCACUUUGUCUUACCACGCCUUCGUCUCUCUCUCUGUCCUUUUGGCUGGACUUGUAUUGCUGCCAAGUGCAAGGCUGGACUGUGUAGAGACUCAAUAUUUGGUAGAAGCUUUUUACAGAGCUUCUUUUUCUAAAUAAAUAACGAUAUAAAUGAGAGAGAAAAAGAGUAACAAAGUUCUUUAAUUAAUGUGGAGUGUACCCUCAGGCUUUGCCUGUGGGUUCAGAGCACUGUCUGCAGUGAGCCCAUUGCAAUGACAGGUGGUCUGGGGCUGGGAGAAGCGGAAAUCUCCCAGAGGAAUCUGCCAGUCAACAUGGAUCGGUGUUGAUUCCUCCUCUUAGGUAAUUGCUCAAGUAGAAGACUCUCCAAAUUGUUCAGGAUUCAAGAAGAACUGUUCAAAUAAAAGACCAUCUUAUCUUGCAGCGCUGCUAUUUUUAAGAUGAUUUAAACCUUAAAAAAAGGUGUGCUGAAAAAAAAUAUUGCAAUUAUGAAGACGAUCAUCACAGAUCACCACCACUGGAAGUUGACCACUGAGGUCAGACGACUUCUUUAAAAAGCAGCUGCACCGCACAGUCUCACUGGUGUCGAGCCUGCAAAUGACCAGGGAGGCUGUACGGCUACCGCUGCAAAGGCACACUGCUGAUGCAAAAGCUCUGCUCUCAAGCUAAACUGCUGCUCUCUGGCUGCUAAAAAGGAAAAAGAAAUGUAGUCACACAAAAGGGAGUUUGAAAAAUGACAAAUUUUGCUACUUAAUUCUGCAUUGCAGUUACCAUCAUCUGUAGCCAUUACGUACAUUUGACUAACCCUCAGAAUGCUCUCUUGCAGCAUUACAAAGCAAUCUUCAAAGAAACACUGGGAUCAAGGCAGUGUAAGCACCAGCUUUAAGUCAGCUUUGCGUGACAGCUUCUGAUUUAUGCUUUCAAACAGACCCACAGAUCUCUGCCUCAGUUUGUUAGUUACCACUAGCAAAAUACAUAGGGGCGUGCAGUGCCGUAAUAUACCUCUCCCAGCAGAAUAAAGCCUUUAUGCAUACUCUAUUAAAUUAGAUGGUUUGGAAAAAGAAUUACGUUUUCACGAAGACUGGAUUUAUGAAAAAAUUAUCCAGAAGCUUCAGUUUUUAAUUAAUUGCAAAUUCUGUAGCAUUCUAGACAUCUUUAAUGUCCAAAUUUGUCCUCACUAGGUCUAUUUAACUACUGCCAUUUUCACAUAAACAUUGAUAAAUAUUGCUAAGAAUGAAGUGUUGAAUGUCUUUUUUAUGAUACCAGUGGAACAUACAGUAAAGGCUUUACCAUUUCCCUUAUCCUUGGGGAAGCACUUAAGCAGAUAAAGUAAUUAAUAAUGGGAGUUCCUAGCUUAUGUAGUAAAAAAAGAAUAUUUGUUAGCUGUACAUGUAAAAAGAUGUCAAAUAAAUUCAGUAGUUCUAUCUGUAGUUCAAUUCUUUGAAAGAAAAAAAACUAUAAUUGGAUUUAUUUGUUGGAAAAAAGCUGUUUCACAGUUAAAAAGAGAGACAUGUAGCAGAAACUCUUUAGCCACGUCCCUCAUUAAUGCGCAGUGAAAUGAGCUAGAUGCUGUGCUUGGGUUAACCAGCGUACCUUUAUGCAAGCUGUUUGACCUGUACACUUAACUCCAGAUAGAAUCUGUCCCUGUGUAACUAGAAGAUAACAAACUGUGUAGUAGACGUAGGAAAAAAACACCUCAGCAAGGCAGUGGCAGGAAAUGAUUGAGUGACUUUGUGUCCAUUUGGUAACCUCAGGAGGUCAAAUACAAGAGAGGCUGUAAAGCUUCUAAGUCUAAAAAGUGCACGUAUUCUAAGAGCUGUGUUCUGUUUUCUUAGGAGUUUGCCUGGGACACUAGCCAGAAUAGCACUGCAAUAGCACCUGACAGAUAAAAUUAAAGCAUGAAUCAUAAUCCCUCUGGUCUGCCAAACUGAGCUUUAUUCAAGCUGGACCUUUAAGAUAGAUUACAGUUUACAAUUUGAUGGCGUGUCCAAAAGCUAACUAUCCCUUAAUUUCAAACCGUGUUGUGGGAAGGUCAUGUAUUCGCGCUAGGGUACAAACUUGGGUUUGUGUGAUGAGAAUUGAGUGAGGUGAGCUCAAAAUCAUAAUGGUUUCUCUUGUUUAAACUUAAAUGAAAUACCAGCUGGACAGUUGCCAGGAUAAGAUAUCAUUCUGACAGAGCAGAACACUCAAGUAUAUUGAGCGAGCUCUUUGGAUUAGUCUAAAAGAAUAAAGGGCAUCGUCACACUUUUACAAGGCAGAGAAAAUGUGGAAUGCUUCAAAAACAAGCAUUCCAAAUAAUAUUGAAAAUAGAUUAUUUAAAUGGAAUUUGGAAUAUGAAAUUCUUGAUGUUUGAUAUUCUUUUUCGUAGCUAUGGGGAAGAAGGCAGGCAGACUAGACGUCGAAGAAAGCCUAUUAUUGGGUAGAAGGCUAUUAUUGAUAGGCUAAUCUUCCAAAACAAAUCUGCUUAAUCUAUAAUCUUUGAAACUAUAGAAUUGUUUGGGUACCACACUAUCAUCCUUCCAAUUUUCAUUUUAGAUGCUGUAGCAAUCAAAGGAUGAUGUAGCUUCAAAGAGUAAUACAAUGUAGUUUGAAGUUCAAUUUAUCAUGCUGGUAACGGACCAGCCUCUGGGGUUUUUUUAGUUUGCUUGACUGGGACGAGGGGUGGCCAUACAGGAGUCUUCAAUCAUCAAAUAACUUGAUAUGCAUGACUAAUUGGUCAUCUGAAUAUAGGGUUAGUUACCUAAGUGCUUUGUAGUUGACAGCAAACUGCCUGCUUUAUCAACGCCAAUAAAAAAGACUAACACAACCUAAGAGUUUUUCUUUCUGUUCCUAGAUAUGCAUCAGAUUUGUAUCUCUCAACAAGAGUUGUAAUCCAUAGAUCAAAGGAUAAAAUAGUAUAGAAAUAAAACAGACUAUUCAAUUUAUAAUUCAAAGCAUUCUUACAUUUGAGAUAUCAACUUACAAAAAUAAAAUAACUAGCAGAUGUCUGUGCAAGGAUACCUAUUUACUUUUAGUCUCUUUGGUAGUGUCCAUUCAGGACCUGACAUUCAGUUCAUCAAUUGUGGAUAUGACCAAAUCUGUGAAAAAGGGAUCUGGGUUUUGAUGUGAGUAGCCAUCACUAGAUGCAGUUCAUAUCUUUUCUGGGGGUACUUUGAGUUAAACUGGUGAUAUACAUUCUCAAUAUCAACUCCAAUUAAACACUGAUCUUUGCCUAAGGAUUUUUAAAAAGGUUUUUACAUAUGAAUAUUUAACAAGAAAACCCAGGAAGAAACCCAGUAAGACGACACAAGAACGGUAGCACAAUAUCUCCCAUAAACUGAAGAUGUAUACGAAGGAUCUUGGCUCAGCUGAAGAUGUUAUCUGAAGUUCUGAGACGCAUUCAUCCGUAGGCACUAGUUGCUUUGCGCUGCUACGUGGCAAUGCAAAGCAAACAGAAUAUAGUCAGAAGCUAGGCCAGGUCUACAGCUGCUUUGCAUUACUGGGGGAACAAACACCAACCAAAAAGGCCUUGUAAACCUGAUCAUUAAUUGACUAGCAGUCAGGCAGAGAGGUCCUUUACAAGAGUGACAUCGGGGACCGGGCAGUAAUUGCACGCGCUGUCAGGGAGAGCUAUUAACAGAUGAGGCCAGUGUCCCUGACUGAUUUUGCCCAAUUAAACUGAAUCAUGCAAAUCAGUGAGUGAAGAAGGAUGGCGCUUGGCUUUGUUAUCUCCAGCGUUAUCUCUGUUGAGGUAUAGAUCUGUACCUGCUUAUCACCUACAGCAGUUUCUAUACCAGUUGUUAAUAACAUACUGUCAAUGCAUGUCCUCCAGCUGAAGCCUACAUGUGAGAUUUCAGGAACUUUAUGGAAAGUUUGAAUGCUCCUAUGUUUUCACAUUAUUGAACAGAGAUGUGGGAUAAAAGACUGGCAAAUGGCAAAUUUCUAAA